CGCCCUCUUUUAAUAUCAACUCCCAUCAACCAACAACUCCUUCUCAUAUAAUCUCUUUUUAAGCUAGCAUUCCUCUCAUUUUCUUCAUUGGCGCAUCGGCAAUCAAACGAAAAGGGAGAUUCAUUGUGCUGCCAGAGGUAAGCCUAGGCUUAAAUCCCUCCAUUUCCUUCAUAAGUUCAGCCUGCAAUUGUUAAGCAAAUAAGCAAUUUAUUUCAGUUUCUAUCCAUUGAGCUCCAGAGCAACCAACCAAAAACACAAGAACAUUCAAGGUAUUUUUACAUCGGUAUGCUUUCUUCUUUGUUACACGCCUCAUUUCCCAUGAAGCAUAUGAUCAGUUUAUUUGAAAAGCAUAGUAGGAGACGAAUGGUAUAAUCUUUUAUCCAUAUAGAAUCAACAACCCAUGACUUUCACACAAGGCAAAUACAAUGAGAAUUUCUGACGACACAUAGCAAAACCAUGAUGCCUAGUUUCAAUCUAUAGCAUAAACGACAAUAGGAGCCAAAGGUUUAAUU
Molecule: long non-coding RNA, 512 nt
Filed under: Salvia miltiorrhiza (redroot sage)
Lineage: Eukaryota; Viridiplantae; Streptophyta; Magnoliopsida; Lamiales; Lamiaceae
Description: long non-coding RNA (SMIL_LNC006040)
Source: RNAcentral